AGCGAACGCUGGCGGCAGGCCUAACACAUGCAAGUCGAACGAACUCUUCGGAGUUAGUGGCGGACGGGUGAGUAACACGUGGGAACGUGCCUUUAGGUUCGGAAUAACUCAGGGAAACUUGUGCUAAUACCGAAUGUGCCCUUCGGGGGUAAGAUUUAUCGCCUUUAGAGCGGCCCGCGUCUGAUUAGCUAGUUGGUGAGGUAAAGGCUCACCAAGGCGACGAUCAGUAGCUGGUCUGAGAGGAUGAUCAGCCACAUUGGGACUGAGACACGGCCCAAACUCCUACGGGAGGCAGCAGUGGGGAAUCUUGCGCAAUGGGCGAAAGCCUGACGCAGCCAUGCCGCGUGAAUGAUGAAGGUCUUAGGAUUGUAAAAUUCUUUCACCGGGGACGAUAAUGACGGUACCCGGAGAAGAAGCCCCGGCUAACUUCGUG
RNAcentral lists this ribosomal RNA (433 nucleotides) under uncultured bacterium. RNAcentral's name for it is "partial 16S ribosomal RNA". It matches the Rfam family "Bacterial small subunit ribosomal RNA", at positions 29 to 507 of the family's 1533-position model. The record is from RNAcentral.